GGCCUCGUAGUAAAGUUACACCGGAGUGCAAAUCCGGAGCCGCACCCUAUUAGGUGCCGGGGCUU
This 65-nucleotide transfer RNA is filed under the name Cnemaspis tanintharyi (Tanintharyi rock gecko). Its description in RNAcentral is "tRNA-Cys". Lineage: Eukaryota; Metazoa; Chordata; Lepidosauria; Squamata; Gekkonidae. The record is from RNAcentral.